AUGAAAGAUUUGGGAGAAGCCGAUGUAAUUCUAAACAUCAAACUUAUUAAGGAUGAGAGUGGGAUUACAUUAACGCAAUCUCACUAUGUUGAGAAGGUCUUGAACCGAUUCGGUUUUAUGGAUAGCAAGCCUUCUCCAACACCUUAUGAUCCCAGCGUGACACUUAGAAAGAACAAGAAAGAAACGAGAGAUCAAUUAAGAUACUCUCAAAUUGUCGGUUCACUCAUGUACUUAGCUAGCGCUACAAAACCAGAUAUCUCUUUUGCUGUGAGCAAACUGAGUAGGUUCAUGUCCAACCCGGGUGAUGAUCAUUGGCAUGCACUAGAAAGGGUCUUGCGCUAUCUGAGAGGUACUAUGAGUUACGGAAUUACUUAUUCAGGGCAUCCUGCUGUGCUAGAAGGAUAUAGUGAUUCAAAUUGGAUCUCCGAUGUUGAUGUACUUUACGCAACAAGUGGGUAUGUAUUUACUCAUGGUGGUGGCGCAGUAUCA
This 489-nucleotide ribosomal RNA is filed under the name Triticum aestivum (bread wheat). RNAcentral describes it as "partial small subunit ribosomal RNA". The record is from RNAcentral. Lineage: Eukaryota; Viridiplantae; Streptophyta; Magnoliopsida; Poales; Poaceae.